This 1349-nucleotide ribosomal RNA is filed under the name Salmonella enterica subsp. enterica serovar Virchow. RNAcentral describes it as "partial 23S ribosomal RNA". It matches the Rfam family "Bacterial large subunit ribosomal RNA", at positions 1 to 1258 of the family's 2925-position model. The record is from RNAcentral. Lineage: Bacteria; Pseudomonadati; Pseudomonadota; Gammaproteobacteria; Enterobacterales; Enterobacteriaceae.
GGGUUGUGAGGUUAAGCGACUAAGCGUACACGGUGGAUGCCCUGGCAGUCAGAGGCGAUGAAGGACGUGCUAAUCUGCGAUAAGCGCCGGUAAGGUGAUAUGAACCGUUAUAACCGGCGAUUUCCGAAUGGGGAAACCCAGUGUGAUUCGUCACACUAUCAUUAACUGAAUCCAUAGGUUAAUGAGGCGAACCGGGGGAACUGAAACAUCUAAGUACCCCGAGGAAAAGAAAUCAACCGAGAUUCCCCCAGUAGCGGCGAGCGAACGGGGAGGAGCCCAGAGCCUGAAUCAGCAUGUGUGUUAGUGGAAGCGUCUGGAAAGGCGCGCGAUACAGGGUGACAGCCCCGUACACAAAAGCGCAUGUGCUGUGAGCUCGAUGAGUAGGGCGGGACACGUGGUAUCCUGUCUGAAUAUGGGGGGACCAUCCUCCAAGGCUAAAUACUCCUGACUGACCGAUAGUGAACCAGUACCGUGAGGGAAAGGCGAAAAGAACCCCGGCGAGGGGAGUGAAAAAGAACCUGAAACCGUGUACGUACAAGCAGUGGGAGCCCCACCACCAAAGCAUUCUCUGGUGUUGAAGGCCCUGCAAAGCAGCAUCGCGGUGGCGGAGCGUCGUUUGCGACGCCCAACACACAAAACAAGCGGUGAGUGCUUUGGGGUGGGGUGACUGCGUACCUUUUGUAUAAUGGGUCAGCGACUUAUAUUCUGUAGCAAGGUUAACCGUAUAGGGGAGCCGUAGGGAAACCGAGUCUUAACCGGGCGUUAAGUUGCAGGGUAUAGACCCGAAACCCGGUGAUCUAGCCAUGGGCAGGUUGAAGGUUGGGUAACACUAACUGGAGGACCGAACCGACUAAUGUUGAAAAAUUAGCGGAUGACCUGUGGCUGGGGGUGAAAGGCCAAUCAAACCGGGAGAUAGCUGGUUCUCCCCGAAAGCUAUUUAGGUAGCGCCUCGUGAAUUCAUCUCCGGGGGUAGAGCACUGUUUCGGCUAGGGGGCCAUCCCGGCUUACCAACCCGAUGCAAACUGCGAAUACCGGAGAAUGUUAUCACGGGAGACACACGGCGGGUGCUAACGUCCGUCGUGAAGAGGGAAACAACCCAGACCGCCAGCUAAGGUCCCAAAGUCAUGGUUAAGUGGGAAACGAUGUGGGAAGGCCCAGACAGCCAGGAUGUUGGCUUAGAAGCAGCCAUCAUUUAAAGAAAGCGUAAUAGCUCACUGGUCGAGUCGGCCUGCGCGGAAGAUGUAACGGGGCUAAACCAUGCACCGAAGCUGCGGCAGCGAACGUAUCACUUAAAGCGAUUCAGCGGGUUACGAUUGACGGAGCGAAGCGACGUCAAAGCGUAUACAAAG